UAGGGAAUCUUCCACAAUGGACGCAAGUCUGAUGGAGCAACGCCGCGUGAGUGAAGAAGGUUUUCGGACCGUAAAGCUCUGUUGUUGGUGAAGAAGGAUAGAGGUAGUAACUGGCCUUUAUUUGACGGUAAUCAACCAGAAAGUCACGGCUAACUACGUGCCAGCAGCCGCGGUAAUACGUAGGUGGCAAGCGUUGUCCGGAUUUAUUGGGCGUAAAGCGAGCGCAGGCGGAAGAAUAAGUCUGGUGUGAAAGCCCUCGGCUUAACCGAGGAAUUGCAUCGGAAACUGUUUUUCUUGAGUGCAGAAGAGGAGAGUAGAACUCCAUGUGUAGCGGUGGAAUGCGUAGAUAUAUGGAAGAAUACCAGUGGCGAAGGCGGCUCUCUGGUCUGCAACUGACGCUGAGGCUCGAAAGCAUGGGUAGCGAACAGGAUUAGAUACCCUGGUAGUCCAUGCCGUAAACGAUGAGUGCUAAGUGUUGGGAGGCUUCCGCCUCUCAGUGCUGCAGCUAACGCAUUAAGCACUCCGCCUGGGGGAGUACGACCGCAAGGUUGAAAC
Molecule: ribosomal RNA, 555 nt
Filed under: uncultured bacterium
Lineage: Bacteria
Description: partial 16S ribosomal RNA
Rfam family: Bacterial small subunit ribosomal RNA
Source: RNAcentral